This is a long non-coding RNA of Herpailurus yagouaroundi (jaguarundi), 2233 nucleotides long. RefSeq lists it as uncharacterized. The record is from RefSeq and is a predicted model, not a curated record. NCBI's taxonomy places the organism in Eukaryota, Metazoa, Chordata, Mammalia, Carnivora, Felidae. The transcript is spliced from 2 exons.
CCUUAGAACACCUUUCACUUCUGCCUUCAUUUCUCCAGUGAUUUAAAAAAAAAAAUUUAUUUUGGCAAUUUAUCUGAAACAUUACCGAUAAUAGUGAUGGAGAGAGGUUGGGCAGGGACAGUGGGCUGCAGAAGCGUCCAGUGCAAAGUCCAGAUUUCCCCUUCAUCACAGGCUGGGAAGAAUGUGACCAGUAGCCAGAACAGUCAAUGAGGAGAGGAGAAGGGACUUCCAAGACAAAAGGAAGGGGAGCAAAGGUAAUUGCUAUCUGGUAAUUGCCCGAUGUCAUACAUGGGAAUACAACAGAGAACAAAUGGACAAAGUCACUGCUGUCAUGGAAGGGAGAUGAAAAAGUAGCACAGAGGUAAGUCAGGGAGGGUAAGAAUUCCUGGGAUCACAGAGAGCUGCUGUUCUACAGAGGGUUGUUGGAGAGAUGGGUCAGAAAAGGUGACAUCUGAGACGUAAUUUGGAGGAAAUGAGGGAGAGUGAAGAAUACAGGGAGCCACUAAGUCAGAACAAGGCCUGAGGUGGGAGAGCGCAUGUCCUGUGUGAUUCACAACCACGAGGGCUGUGUGGAGCCUGCUAAGCCAUGGCAAGGACUGUGAGCAUGGGGCUAGGGAUGACAUCAGCCAGGUCUGGUUGUUAACUGUGGUGGCCACACUGUUGGUUGCUCUGACCCUGCCGUCUCUACUUAUUCCCUACCACAGAGCUCAUCUCCAUGAAAGGUUGCAAAUACCAGAUGCCUGCCUUGCCUGCCUUUCAGUCAACGCAUGAACGAGUCGUCCAAAAAUUCCCACAACGGUUCCAUAAGUUGUAGCUUAUGGUCAAAUAGAUGGGAAAAGGGAGAGACCGCAAGUCACGAGCCAGUCAGGAGGCUUUCACCGGAUUCUAGAACAGAGGUAAGGUAUGUCUGAAGAGCAGUAAUGGUCAUAGGACAAGAGAUAUGGGUUGAGCGAGGCAGAGAUGACAGACAUGGAAGUGACAGUUUCUGGGAACUGGAUGUGAGCAGAAAGGGAGAGAGGAGUCAGCUGAGGAGGUGGUGAGUGGGAGAGUGACAGAACCUUCUGGAGCAAGGGCCACAGUGUGGCUAGAAAAAAAUGAAUCUGGUGAGGUGGUGGCUGUGAGGUGGUGGCCAUUAGUUCAACAUGGAGUACAUCAACAUGCAAGGGAAGGGAAAAGAUUCCCAUCUUGAGAGACUAUCUAAAAGGCAAGAAUAGAAACUCACCAGACUUGUUCACAGAUCUGGUCUAUGUAUAGGUUAUUCAUUCUACCCCCCCACUUCCUCCACCUCCCCCCCACCACCCCAUGCUCUUUGCCUGGCAAACUCCUAUUUAUUCUUCUACACUCAGAUUAAUUCCCAACUCUUCAGUGAAGCCUCCUUAUCCUACCCCGACGCAGAAUUUGUUCCUUUCCUAUGUUCCCAGAGCCUUUUGUGGACACCUGCAUCCUAUCAUUUGCCACACACAAUGCAUUGUCAUUUCCCUGCUCCCUCCCUCUUCAGUGUUAGACUGCAGGUGCCCUCCCUAGAGACCAGCUUAAUGCUUUUUGUAUUCCUGGCAUUUAAUACUGUGCCUAGAAGACAUAAUAGGUAAUCACCAAAUGAGUGAUGAAUGAACGAGUGAAUAAAUGAAUGAAAUAUUGAUCAUAGAAAAAAGGUAGAAGUUAAAAGUGUUAGCAGAGAGUGAUGAAAUUUUGAAACAUUUAAGUUAGGAUAUUUUGACAUCCAUGGAGAAUGGUGGAGUAGAUGAGGUUAUCCUUGGAAACUCUUAGAGUCUAUAUGUGGAAGGAGGAGAUCUAAAUCUGAGCUGACAUCAGAUAUGAAGAGGGAUUACAGUCAUUACCUGAGAAUAGCUCAAGAAGGGUGCUGAGAAGUGAGUGAAAUAUUUGAUGAAGGUGAAAGCCAGAGCCCGCAGAGAACCUGAAGGUCAGGAAAUCAGGAGAAUAAGUCUUUAGGAUUUUCUGGAAACAUAGCAGUCACAUUUUAUGAUGCAAUCAUGGCAAUGCAAUCAUGGAAAUCUUACAUACUCAACGUUGGUUUUUCCAUAGGACUCAAUGUAAGCGGGGGGGGGGGGGGGGGUUCAUUCUCGGCUGUCAGGUGUAUAAACAUGAUAGUUUUGUGCCAUUUUUCAGGGGGGGCUGAUCUUGCAGCCAGGCCAAUGGCAUUUUUUUCAUUGUUUCCAUUCUUCUCCCCCUUUCUGAGGACAAUUUGAGAAGAUUAAAGUUAUGCUGGCUAUAA